GGCCCUGACACAGAAAGGAGACAGAGAAAGGUGACAGCCAAAUGCACGUGGGAGCUGGGAACAGAGGAGGGCACUGGGAGGGGCCUGCCUGCCGUCCAGCUCUCGAGACCACGGCGAGAUUCAGAAGGGAAUUGGGCCAUUCCUUCUCCAAAGCAGAACGUACUGCAGCUGUGAGAGUUCUAGGAGAAAAUUCAGCUGGCUUUUUCCUUUAAAUACUGAAGCCCUCGAAAUCAUCUUUGGAGAAAGGCACAGACCUGUCUCCCAAGACGUGUCCUUAAUCUUGGCAAAGUAAACUUCUAAGUUGAUCGAGGCUUGUCUCAGAUAUUUUCAGGUUUACAGAAAGAAAUUCAAUUUCAGUCACAAACGGAAUGAUAAAAUAAGUUGUUACGCAUCCAUAGAAAGAAGAUAUUAACAUGAUGAACUUUCAAAUCAGCUUCUCAAGUGUCAACAUCCUGUUGCGAUUUUCAUUGAUAUUGAACUGAAUUUAUAGAUUUUGUAAGCAGAAAAAAAUUAUUUU
This 517-nucleotide long non-coding RNA is filed under the name Homo sapiens (human). Its description in RNAcentral is "non-protein coding lnc-KLF15-2:2". Lineage: Eukaryota; Metazoa; Chordata; Mammalia; Primates; Hominidae. The record is from RNAcentral.